UUUUUUUCCAAUUCGUAAGGAUCCUCAAAACAUAAAUGCUCUUUUAUGUAUAAACUUUUCAGCUUGAUUAUGAACUAAAAGUAUUUUUAUAUAUCAUUCAUAAUAACAGAGAGAGAAUAUUGAAGAGAUUUGAACACUUAAGUGAUAAUAUACCACUGUAAAUUCAAAAUACUGUGGUAAUUUGUAAAGCUUGUUGUGGGCUCAAGCUAAUAAUUGUGUCUUCACCUAAGAUUAAUAAUACAGGCAGAGACUCUGGUAACACAGAAUCUGCAUUUCAGUGACUAAUAUCAUCCAAACUCUGCAGUGACUAGUCUCAUCCAAAAAAGGUCUGUUCUUUGAAGUCAGCAGAUACUGGGUCAGACUUUAAAGGGAAUUAAUACAUAAUUACAUUAUAAAAAGGAACUGGUCUGUAUCGAAAGAGAUAUAAGCACGCAUUUGAAGAAGUGCUUAAUAGUUUUUCAUAGGACACAUCUGGCUUUCUCAGUAGCAGCUUGUGCUAUCACAUUCUGGUUAAGCUGACACAGAGAAACAUAAAGAUACCUCUCAUAAGAGCAAGAAGUUCUUCUGGUGCUCCUGAAAUAUCUCAUCCUGGCUACAAUUUUUAGAGGAGCCGUACAACAACUGACGCCUCUGCUUCACCUCAUCAGACAGGACUCCUCAUCUCCCACGAAGCAGCCUGUAAAAGCCUGUGAGUAUUAUGGGCCAGGAUGCAGAUGCUGCUCUUUCAUGGAAAGAUUUAUGCUGGCAGAACUCACUUGGAUACCUUUGAAGAAAAGCAGCUGGAAAAACAAGGCGUCUAGAUUUUUGCUGCUCCAUGGAGCAGUCAGGCUGUGAAUCCUCUGCAGUGCUCUGGGGUUAAGGAAGAUGGUGUGAAAAAGAAGCCACAGAAAGAACACCAGUGCAACUAGCAGGAGGAAAUAUUGUUUUGGGAACACAAGAACUAAUUGCUGUAUGUUGUGGCUGUGUGGAAAAUUAGAUCACCCUAAUUUUUCAUACUAUUUUAAGACCAGGUAACUAAUCACAAACCAGUAGUGUAAUAAGGUCAGAGAGUUUUUGUGGGGCUGUUAGACAAGUCAUAGACACCUGUACAAGUGGGAGAGCUCCCAAGAUAUGUGAGCUCAGUAAGGAGGAGCUCAGCAAGGUUUUUGCUCUAUAUCCUACCAUAUCAACACUUCAUUUUGUGCAUUUUCUGAUUAAUCAUUAAAUCUCAUCCAGCUGACUUCCAAAGCCAACUGGGUCAGGUAAUCCUUAGACACAGAGCCUCUCCCUGUCCCUCUCCAAUAGAAAUUCUCCAGGAAACAUCUGAUGUAAGUCAUGCCAAGGUGCCACCAGGCUGAAUUUCUUGCUAGAAUUUUAGUAUUUCUCAGGAUUUGACUUGUUCCUUAUAAUGACAAUUAUGCAAAACCUCUGCUCUAUCUUUUCUCCUUGCCAUGUAGAAGUUUGAACACUACUGUAUCUUACUGGAUUUUUUUUCCCUUUUCUUUUAUUCUAUUUUAAUGCUGUUUUGACAGCCAGUCAAUUUUUUACCUUCCUUUGAAGAAACUACUCAAAAGGGCAGGAGCACAUGAGCUAACUUCAGGGUUGGUAAAGGAGAGGUAUUUUUAGAGUAAAGGGAACACAAAAAAGAACUGUUUUAUUUACUGUAAAAAACUGUGGAGGUCCUUAG
Molecule: long non-coding RNA, 1666 nt
Organism: Taeniopygia guttata (zebra finch)
Lineage: Eukaryota; Metazoa; Chordata; Aves; Passeriformes; Estrildidae
Source: Ensembl